RNAcentral lists this ribosomal RNA (207 nucleotides) under uncultured bacterium. RNAcentral's name for it is "partial 16S ribosomal RNA". It matches the Rfam family "Bacterial small subunit ribosomal RNA", at positions 567 to 773 of the family's 1533-position model. The record is from RNAcentral.
UUGCGUAGGUGGCAUAGUAAGUAGGUAGUGAAAGCGUGUGGCUCAACCAUACUCACAUUAUCUAAACUACUAAGCUAGAGUACAUGAGAGGUAGUUGGAAUUCCUAGUGUAGGAGUGAAAUCCGUAGAUAUUAGGAGGAACACCAAUGGCGUAGGCAGACUACUGGCAUGUUACUGACACUGAGGUGCGAAAGCGUGGGGAGCAACA